AAUUUUCUUGAUAUUUCUUCCUUGAACUCCAACAGGGAAUUCAAAACUUUCAAGCAGGAAGGGAAGAAGGGAAGAAGACCAGCCUGGCUAAAUAGAGAGCUUCGGCUGGAACUCAGGAACAAAAAGAAGGCUUAUAAUCUUUGGAAAAAGGGCCUGGCAGAUAAGGAGAGAUACCAUGAAGCGGUGAGGAUAUGCAGGGGGAAAAUUAGAAGGGCCAAGGCUCAAGUGGAGCUCAGCUUGGCCACCAAUAUUAACAAUAACAAAAAGGGGUUUUUUCAGUAUGUUAACAGCAAGAGAAAGGUGAGGGAUAAUGUGGGCCCACUGAUGGAUGAGGUGGGCACCCUAGUAGUGGAAGACACGGAGAAAGCAGAGUUGCUGAAUGCCUUCUUUUCUUCAGUCUUCACUGUUAGGACUACCCCUCAUGAAUCUGUGGCCUUAGAGGCAAGGGGGAUGGUAUGGAGAGAGGAAAUUUUUCCUCUAGUAGAGGAGGGCCAGGUUCGGGACCACUUGGCCAAACUGGACAUUCAUAAGUCCAUGGGGCCUGAUGGGUUGCACCCACGAGUGCUGAGGGAGCUGGCAGACGUUAUCGCUGGACCACUCUCGAUCAUCUUUGAGAAGUCGUGGAGAACAGGAGAGGUGCCUGAGGACUGGAGGAAGGCCAACAUCACUCCAGUCUUCAAAAAGGGCAAGAAGGAGGACCCUGGGAACUACAGACCAGUUAGUCUCACCUCUGUCCCUGGGAAGGUGAUGGAGAGACUCAUACUAGAUGUCAUCUCCAAACAAGUUGAAGAGUGGGGGGUUAUUGGAAGUGGGCAACACGGGUUUACCAAGGGUAAAUCAUGUAUGACCAAUCUGAUAGCCUUCUAUGAUGCCAUAACCGGUUGGUUGGAUGAGGGGAGGGCAGCAGAUGUCAUCUACCUUGACUUCAGCAAGGCUUUUGACACUGUCUCCCAUAACAUCCUCAUUGGGAAACUGAGGCAGUAUGGGCUGGAUGAGGGGACAGUGAGGUGGAUUGAGAACUGGCUGUGUGACAGGACCCAAAGGGUAAUUAUUAAUGGAGCA
RNAcentral lists this long non-coding RNA (1062 nucleotides) under Calidris pugnax (ruff). Its description in RNAcentral is "lncRNA (ENSCPUG00000003714.1)". Lineage: Eukaryota; Metazoa; Chordata; Aves; Charadriiformes; Scolopacidae. The record is from RNAcentral.